CGAGGAAUCUUCCACAAUGGGCGCAAGCCCGAUGGAGCAACGCCGCGUGGAGGACGACGGCCUUCGGGUUGUAAACUCCUUUCGGGGGGGAUGAAACGGACAGUACCCCCAGAAGCAGCCCCGGCUAACUCUGUGCCAGCAGCCGCGGUAAUACAGAGGGGGCAAGCGUUGUCCGGAAUUACUGGGCGUACAGCGCGCGCAGGCGGUUGCCGACGUGCCGUGUGACAAACGGGGGCUCAACCCCCGAGGGCCACGGUAAACGGGGCGACUGGAGGAAGGGAGAGGGAUGUGGAAUGCCCGGUGGAGCGGUGAAAUGCGUAGAGAUCGGGCGGAACACCAGCGGCGAAGGCGGCAUCCUGGCCCUUACCUGACGCUGAGGCGCGAGAGCGUGGGGAGCAAACCG
Molecule: ribosomal RNA, 403 nt
Filed under: uncultured bacterium
Lineage: Bacteria
Description: bacterial SSU rRNA
Rfam family: Bacterial small subunit ribosomal RNA
Source: RNAcentral